GGCGGUCUUCGGUAGUGGCUGCCGGGAAUUCUGACUCCCGGCCGCUUCGAUCGACGGCCGUA
This 62-nucleotide non-coding RNA is filed under the name Mycolicibacterium cosmeticum. RNAcentral's name for it is "Actino-pnp". It matches the Rfam family "Actino-pnp RNA". The record is from RNAcentral. Lineage: Bacteria; Bacillati; Actinomycetota; Actinomycetes; Mycobacteriales; Mycobacteriaceae.